GAGUUUGAUCGUGGCUCAGAUUGAACGCUAGCGGGAUGCUUUACACAUGCAAGUCGAACGGCAGCGCGGACUUCGGUCUGGCGGCGAGUGGCGAACGGGUGAGUAAUGUAUCGGAACGUGCCCAGUAGCGGGGGAUAACUACGCGAAAGCGUGGCUAAUACCGCAUACGCCCUAUGGGGGAAAGGCGGGGAUCCUUCGGGACCUGUCACUAUUGGAGCGGCCGAUAUCGGAUUAGCUAGUUGGUGGGGUAAUGGCCUACCAAGGCGACGAUCCGUAGCUGGUUUGAGAGGACGACCAGCCACACUGGGACUGAGACACGGCCCAGACUCCUACGGGAGGCAGCAGUGGGGAAUUUUGGACAAUGGGGGCAACCCUGAUCCAGCCAUCCCGCGUGUGCGAUGAAGGCCUUCGGGUUGUAAAGCACUUUUGGCAGGGAAGAAAUGGUUC
This 447-nucleotide ribosomal RNA is filed under the name uncultured Burkholderiales bacterium. RNAcentral describes it as "bacterial SSU rRNA". It matches the Rfam family "Bacterial small subunit ribosomal RNA", at positions 9 to 456 of the family's 1533-position model. The record is from RNAcentral. Lineage: Bacteria; Pseudomonadati; Pseudomonadota; Betaproteobacteria; Burkholderiales.